UACGAAGGGGGCUAGCGUUGUUUCGGAAUUACUGGGCGUAAAGCGCGCGCAGGCGGUCUUCCAAGUCAGUGGUGAAAGCCUGGAGCUCAACUCCAGAACUGCCAUUGAAACUGUUAGACUUUGAGUACGAGAGAGGUGAGUGGAAUUCCCAGUGUAGAGGUGAAAUUCGUAGAUAUUGGGAAGAACACCAGUGGCGAAGGCGGCUCACUGGCUCGUAACUGACGCUCAGGCGCGACAGCGUGGGAGUCAAACAGG
RNAcentral lists this ribosomal RNA (255 nucleotides) under uncultured bacterium. Its description in RNAcentral is "partial 16S ribosomal RNA". It matches the Rfam family "Bacterial small subunit ribosomal RNA", at positions 524 to 776 of the family's 1533-position model. The record is from RNAcentral.